This 910-nucleotide ribosomal RNA is filed under the name human oral metagenome. RNAcentral's name for it is "bacterial SSU rRNA". It matches the Rfam family "Bacterial small subunit ribosomal RNA", at positions 380 to 1311 of the family's 1533-position model. The record is from RNAcentral.
ACUCUGAUGCAGUGACACCGCGUAUAGGAAGAAGGUCUUAGGAUUGUAAGCUAUUGUCGUGUGAGAAGAAAAUGACCAUCACAGGAGGAAGCCCUGGCUAAAUAUGUGCCAGCAGCCGCGGUAAUACAUAUGGGGCGAGCGUUAUCCGGAUUUAUUGGGUGUAAAGGGUGCGUAGACGGAAAUGCAAGUUAGUUGUGAAAUACCUCGGCUUAACUGAGGAACUGCAACUAAAACUAUAUUUCUUGAGUAUCGGAGGGGUUUGUGGAAUUCCUAGUGUAGCGGUGAAAUGCGUAGAGAUUAGGAGGAACACCAGUGGCGAAGGCGACUUUCUGGGCAACAACUGACGCUGAGGCACGAAAGUGUGGGGAGCAAACAGGAUUAGAUACCCUGGUAGUCCACACCGUAAACGAUGGAUACUAGGUGUUGGCAAUGAAUAAUUGUCGGUGCCGGCGCUAACGCAAUAAGUAUCCCACCUGGGGAGUACGACCGCAAGGUUGAAACUCAAAGGAAUUGACGGGGGCCCGCACAAGCAGUGGAGUAUGUGGUUUAAUUCGAAGAUACGCGAAGAACCUUACCAAGGCUUGACAUACAGAGGAAUAAGUAGGAAACUAUUUAGCUCUUCGGAGUCUCUGUACAGGUGGUGCAUGGUUGUCGUCAGCUCGUGUCGUGAGAUGUUAGGUUAAGUCCUGCAACGAGCGCAACCCCUAUUUCUAGUUGCCAGCACAUAAUGGUGGGAACUCUAGAAAGACUGCCGGUGAUAAAUCGGAGGAAGGUGGGGACGACGUCAAAUCAUCAUGCCCUUUAUGUCUUGGGCAACACACGUACUACAAUGGCCGUUACAGAGAGAAGCAAUACAGUGAUGUGGAGCAAAACUCAAAAAGCGGUCUCAGUUCGGACUGUAGGCUGAAAU